ACAUAAAUAUACAAAAUACCUCUGAAAUUUUUUAGAGGUAUUUUGGUUAAUUUAUAUUUUUCUUGAGUAAUCAUCUAUCCUGUCUUGAAAAGUCAAGGUAUGACCUAAACCUUAAGGAUCUUCUUUUUUAAUAUCUAAUUAAGACAAUUUGACAGUGAGUUGGUCUAGAAAUCAUUAGGAACUAGAUUCAGUUGUACUCAACCAAUUUUGAACCAUUAUAUAUUUUUGUUUUGUAUAUAGAGCAUUUUUUUAAUAAAUGUAUUUGUUAUUAUUCGGAUGGGUGUGAUUUCAUGCACAUGAAGGUACGACAUCACCCUUGUGGAGCACAUUAAUAGUAUUUAAUGCUUCAUGUGGGUGAUAUCACAGCCCAUGUAGGUGACAUCGCACCUUCUUUAAAACCAAAAAUACCGUUAUUCAAAAAACGCUUUAUAUAUAUAUAUAUAUAUAUAUAUAAAGUCUUCCUAUGAGAAAGCAACAGUAAUCUUGCCACACCACCAUCCACCGUCCGAUCAAAUUAAUUAAAAAUAGCAGUUAAGAUCUGCUCCAAAAUCCAUCGUGCGAAAGGCCGCGAUGGAAUUAAAAGCUUCAAACCUGUCGAAAUUUCACCCUCUACCCUCCUCUGCUUUGGUAACCUCCCUUCUCUCUCCUUCCCCAUCUCUACUACUCUGCGGAGGUCCCCUCUCUCCCGUGGCCCUCUCAUCUCUCUACGCUGCUGCUCUCAUACUCUCUGCGCUGCUGCCCUCACGCCAUCUCAUUGCUCGGCCCCUUCUCUCAAUGCCUUUCUCUCUCACCAGCUGUUUUAGAGAGAGAAGAAGAAACCCAACAGGUUUUAGUUCUCUCUAUAUUAUGACUUUGCAUAUCAUUUUUCCUUUCUCCAUUGAUAUAUGGAACGUGAGCUCUCUAUCUCUCAGCCUGCAUUAAUUCCGUUUGUAUCAUUUUUUGGCUUGGUAUGGAUUUUUUUGUGUGCCCUUUUACCCAAUUUUUUUUUGGUUAGUUCUCUCUCUAUUACGAUUUUGAAUAUCAUUUUUCCUUUCACCAUUGAUAGAUGGAACGUGAGCUCUCCACCUCUCAGCCUGCAUUAAUUCAGUUUGUAUCAUUUUUAGGCUUGGUAUGGAUUUUUUGUUGUGCCCUUUUACCCAAUUUUUUUUUAUGAAUUCAAUCACAAAAAUAGAGAAACAAUGGUGCAGUUGGAUUUUAUUACUUUCUUUUAUCAUUGAUUCUGAAAAAAAAUUGAAUUAGAUGUUUAUAAAUGGAUUUCAGUGCACAAUUUUUAUUGUUUGGAUCUAUUACUUGAAGAAGUUGCAAUGAAUACUGCUGAAUGCCCUAAUACAAAAAAUAAUGCAUGACUUUCAAUUGAAAUUUUAAUACAAUUAUUUGGUUUUAUGUUAUGCUUUUAUUCUCUAUUUCACAAUGCAAUUUUUUCUUUUAUUUUUUAAAUAAAUAUGGGUUCAAUGUUCAUUUCCCUAAAGUUGAAGUUUGGAAUAAAAUCUUAGGGUUUUAUGUUGCUUACUUUCUGUUAAUGGUGCAAAUAGGUUCAUGCGAGAUGAGCUUUUGUCUCAAGUAUUGGAAGCUCUUCUUGUCAUCCAGGUUCUUGUAGUACGGAAAUCAAAAUUGAUAAGUGAUUGCAAUCGGUUAUUGAAUGUAUCUCUUGGACAAUCUUCUGCUUGAGACUAGUGAAAACAAGUGCCAUUGCAUACGGGCCUACAUUUUUGGUUUGUUGAUCCUUGGAGAAGAAAGAAAGGGUCUAAAAUCUCUGUGGGAGGACAUCCACCAUAGCGCAAAGCUCUUGAGGCAUUCGGCUACCUAUGAACAUAUUGUCCAAUCCCAUUAGAGGAGCUCGAGGAGAAAAAUGCGAAUGAUGAUGUACUUAGGGCCAUUGGAGAGAGUAGCUCUCGAUCGGAGGAUCAGAUCCCGACACAACCCAUUACUAUGCCAAUGCUAACGGAGGAGGUUGGACGGGCAUACUAUGCUUGUAUCAUGGAUGUCUCAAUAUCAGCAUCUCCCUCCUCUCCCCUCAACAUUACCAAUUCAAAAAAUGGGAAUGAGUGUGGUGCUCAGGCUAUAGUGGAUGAAGCUUGCCAUGAUUUUCCAUUUGAUGAGGAUAUAGUUGCAAUAAAUGGAGAGGAGAUUUGUCACUUAUGGAUGCUGAGGCAGCCUUAGCAAGAGGUGCAAGUAUCGAACGUACAAUAAGAAUGGCAUUUAUUAAUGAAGAUGAAGCUUAUGAUUAUUAUAAUAAGUACGCAAAAUUUGUUUGGUUUGGUAUAAGAAAGGGAAAGAAAUGUAAAGUUUGCAAUAAGAGUGGACAUGACAAACGUAACUGUCCCAUGAGGGUACGUGGGAUGUAGAGCUACUAAGGACCUCUAGCCAAGUUGACUAAUUUAUGGGGAAUGUAAAGGAGUUGACUAAUUUUUUGAAUUUUGGAGACUUGUAAAUACCCUUUUUUGUAGUUGACUUUGAGGGUUAAGUGAAUAUUCAAUAUUCAUGUAAUUUUGUGGGCAUGUAAAGAACCCCUCUAUGAGGGCAUGUAAAUGGGCAUCUAAAUAACCUAUUUGGUCA
This is a non-coding RNA of Amborella trichopoda, 2556 nucleotides long. NCBI's taxonomy places the organism in Eukaryota, Viridiplantae, Streptophyta, Magnoliopsida, Amborellales, Amborellaceae. The record is from RefSeq and is a predicted model, not a curated record.